ACAGCCAUACCAUGCUGAAUAUACCGUUUCACCGAAGUCAAGCAUCAUUGGGCGCUGUCAGUACUUGGGUGGGUGACCACCUGGAAACGCCGCGUGCCGUU
Molecule: non-coding RNA, 101 nt
Organism: Caerostris darwini
Lineage: Eukaryota; Metazoa; Arthropoda; Arachnida; Araneae; Araneidae
Source: the annotation of a GenBank genome assembly